RNAcentral lists this ribosomal RNA (253 nucleotides) under uncultured bacterium. Its description in RNAcentral is "partial 16S ribosomal RNA". It matches the Rfam family "Bacterial small subunit ribosomal RNA", at positions 524 to 776 of the family's 1533-position model. The record is from RNAcentral.
UACGAAGGGGGCUAGCGUUGCUCGGAAUUACUGGGCGUAAAGCGCACGUAGGCGGCUUCUUAAGUCGGUGGUGAAAUCCUGGAGCUCAACUCCAGAACUGCCUUCGAUACUGGGAAGCUCGAGUCCGGGAGAGGUGAGUGGAACUGCGAGUGUAGAGGUGAAAUUCGUAGAUAUUCGCAAGAACACCAGUGGCGAAGGCGGCUCACUGGACACGUAUUGACGCUGAGGUGCGAAAGCGUGGGGAGCAAACAGG